GGGGAACCGCUGUAGCUCAGUGGUAGGGCAUCUGUCUUGCAUUCAGAAGGUCCCAAGUUCCAUCCCUGACAUCCCCA
Molecule: non-coding RNA, 77 nt
Organism: Podarcis lilfordi (Lilford's wall lizard)
Lineage: Eukaryota; Metazoa; Chordata; Lepidosauria; Squamata; Lacertidae
Source: the annotation of a GenBank genome assembly